RNAcentral lists this ribosomal RNA (472 nucleotides) under uncultured bacterium. RNAcentral describes it as "partial 16S ribosomal RNA". It matches the Rfam family "Bacterial small subunit ribosomal RNA", at positions 28 to 507 of the family's 1533-position model. The record is from RNAcentral.
GACGAACGCUGGCGGCGUGCUUAACACAUGCAAGUCGAACGCUGUAGCUUGGUGCUUGCACUGGGUGGAUGAGUGGCGAACGGGUGAGUAAUACGUGAGUAACCUGCCCUUGACUCUGGGAUAAGCCUGGGAAACUGGGUCUAAUACUGGAUACGACAUGUCACCGCAUGGUGGUGUGUGGAAAGGGUUUUACUGGUUUUGGAUGGGCUCACGGCCUAUCAGCUUGUUGGUGGGGUAAUGGCUCACCAAGGCGACGACGGGUAGCCGGCCUGAGAGGGUGACCGGCCACACUGGGACUGAGACACGGCCCAGACUCCUACGGGAGGCAGCAGUGGGGAAUAUUGCACAAUGGGCGGAAGCCUGAUGCAGCGACGCCGCGUGAGGGAUGACGGCCUUCGGGUUGUAAACCUCUUUCAGCACGGAAGAAGCGAAAGUGACGGUACGUGCAGAAGAAGCGCCGGCUAACUACGUG